GGUUGAUCCUGCCAGUAGUCAUAUGCUUGUCUCAAAGAUUAAGCCAUGCAUGUCUAAGUAUAAACAUCUUUAUACCGUGAAACUGCGUACAGCUCAUUAUAUCAGUUAUGAUUUAUUUGAUGGUACCUUACUACAUGGAUACCCGUAGUAAUUCUAGAGCUAAUACAUGCGUACAAUCCCGACUGGUCUCGGCUGGAAGGGAUGUAUUUAUUAGAUUCCAACCCAAUGCAGCUUCGGCUGGUCUCAUUGGUGACUCAUAGUAACUGCACGAAUCGCAUGGCCUUGUGCUGGCG
This 293-nucleotide ribosomal RNA is filed under the name uncultured eukaryote. RNAcentral describes it as "partial 18S ribosomal RNA". It matches the Rfam family "Eukaryotic small subunit ribosomal RNA", at positions 6 to 289 of the family's 1831-position model. The record is from RNAcentral.